ACCAAGGCUUGACAUCCCAUUGACGAGUAUAGAGAUAUACUAUUUCUUCGGAACAAUGGUGACAGGUGGUGCAUGGUUGUCGUCAGCUCGUGUCGUGAGAUGUUGGGUUAAGUCCCGCAACGAGCGCAACCCUUAAUCUUAGUUGCCAGCAUUAAGUUGGGCACUCUAAGGUGACUGCCGGUGAUAAACCGGAGGAAGGUGGGGAUGACGUCAAAUCAUCAUGCCCCUUAUGUCUUGGGCUACACACGUGCUACAAUGGCUGGUACAGAGGGUAGCAAAACCGUAAGGUCAAGCCAAUCCCAAAAAGCCAGUCUCAGUUCGGAUUGUAGGCUGCAACUCGCCUACAUGAAGUCGGAAUUGCUAGUAAUCGCGGAUCAGCAUGCCGCGGUGAAUACGUUCCCGGGCCUU
Molecule: ribosomal RNA, 408 nt
Filed under: uncultured Bacillus sp.
Lineage: Bacteria; Bacillati; Bacillota; Bacilli; Caryophanales; Bacillaceae
Description: bacterial SSU rRNA
Rfam family: Bacterial small subunit ribosomal RNA
Source: RNAcentral